This is a long non-coding RNA of Mobula hypostoma (lesser devil ray), 535 nucleotides long. RefSeq lists it as uncharacterized. The transcript is spliced from 5 exons. NCBI's taxonomy places the organism in Eukaryota, Metazoa, Chordata, Chondrichthyes, Myliobatiformes, Myliobatidae. The record is from RefSeq and is a predicted model, not a curated record.
GGACGAGAUAGGGUGGAUAUGGAGAGGGUGUUUCCUACAGAGCGGGUAUCCAGAACCAGAGGACACAACCUCAAAAUUGAGGGGCGAUCCUUUGGAACAGAGGUUGAUCCCUUGACUCUGCGGUAAUCACAGAAUGAAGAAUAUGCCAGAUUGUGGUGAACAUUUCUGCUGCCGAUGAUCAACCCCACAAUGUCCCAUGCUCUGCAGGUCAUCAGCAGAAAUUCAGAGGAGAAAGGAAUAAAUGUAAACAUCUGCUUCCAGUCAUCUUCAUGUGGAAAUCCCAUCAAUUUCUAUUAAAGCCUGUGAGAAGCUCCAUUGGUACUCAAUCGUGAAGCAUCUGCAGAACAUCUCAUCCACGCAAAUCUAUUACUGAUGCAUGUACAGUACUACAUCAUGUGAAGUGGCAAUGUACUUGACAUUAUCGAUGGUGAGGUUCAGCAAAUAUUUUUGACAGAGCAAGAUCACACAAGAAGCUUGAGGAUGAUGUGUUUGAAAGAUGGAAUUUAGCUGAGAUUCAGACAGAGCUACAAUGCAG